RNAcentral lists this ribosomal RNA (432 nucleotides) under uncultured bacterium. RNAcentral describes it as "bacterial SSU rRNA". It matches the Rfam family "Bacterial small subunit ribosomal RNA", at positions 958 to 1392 of the family's 1533-position model. The record is from RNAcentral.
AACGCGAAGAACCUUACCAAGGCUUGACAUAUAGCGAAAAGUGGCAGAGAUGUCAUGUCCGCAAGGGCGCUAUACAGGUGGUGCAUGGUUGUCGUCAGCUCGUGUCGUGAGAUGUUGGGUUAAGUCCCGCAACGAGCGCAACCCUCGUCCUAUGUUGCCAGCACGUUAUGGUGGGAACUCAUGGGAUACUGCCGGGGUCAACUCGGAGGAAGGUGGGGAUGACGUCAAAUCAUCAUGCCCCUUAUGUCUUGGGCUGCACGCAUGCUACAAUGGCCGGUACAAAGUGCUGCGAUACCGUAAGGUGGAGCGAAUCCCAUAAAGUCGGUCUCAGUUCGGAUUGGGGUCUGCAACUCGACUGCGUGAAGUCGGAAUCGCUAGUAAUCGCGAAUCAGAAUGUCGCGGUGAAUACGUUCCCGGGUCUUGUACACACCG